RNAcentral lists this long non-coding RNA (1444 nucleotides) under Athene cunicularia (burrowing owl). Its description in RNAcentral is "lncRNA (ENSACUG00000010521.1)". Lineage: Eukaryota; Metazoa; Chordata; Aves; Strigiformes; Strigidae. The record is from RNAcentral.
CUCGGGGUCCGAGCCGUGCAGGCCCGGGGGGAGGGAACAAACCGCCCCGUCCCCGCGCUGUUCGGGCGGGCUCGUUGGUCUGCCUGCCCUCCGAGCGGCGCCGACCUAGCCAGGUCGCCUGUCCUGGCUCAGACGCCAGGGUGAGAGUUGCAGCUCCUCCGGAAAGCCACUGCUUUCCUCGCGAGUGGGUCGGUGAGUACAUACCCACUGUGUGUGAACAUUGCUCAGCAUCACUGGAUGAACAGGAUUAUACAGAAGACCUUCAAGAGAUCCAUCUGUAUAGGUCAGCUGGAAGAAUUAGGACCCAGAUCUGUACUAUAUUUGAGGAGCAUUGUAGUGAAGCAUUCGUGUGUUAAAUGGGAUUGUCUUAACACUACUUUAAAAUAUAAAAAUACAUAUGGUGAAACAUGAUUCUGGUGCCUUCAGGUUAAAGUAAAUACCUUGUUCUAUAAGUAGAUCUACUGACUUUAUGAAACAAAUUUGGGUAAUUGGACCUGUGAUGGAUGUUUCAGUAUUUCUACAAAGGCUAGAUGUAUUAUCAUGAUGAGGGGUUUUUCUAAUACAAAAUGCAAGAUAUGCAGACUUCAUGAAUUAGUUCUUUGAAAGCCUGUUCACAUUUCCCAAAUUGAAGCAUAUCAGUGGAUUUUUGGUUUGGUUUUAAAUGCCUCAUCCUUCUUCAAAGGUGAAAACUUGCUUUUGUGGGGGUAUAGGACAUAGCAAGCAGUUAGUGGUUAAUGUGUGUCAAAGAUGUUUUCAUUCUUUGAUGACAGGAAAUGCUAGGCUCUUCGAACAGAAAUCAUGGUUUACUGGUUCUAGCUGAUUUGCAGAGUCACGCCAGCAUUUCUUUGUAGAGCUCUUUGUCAUACUAAGUGCUCAUGUAAGUUUGUGCCAGACUUCUCUUACAUUAUUGAUUUGGCUCAUGAAACUGAACGUUGUAGUUGCAAAGGGCCAGUUCAAGGAUUUGACCUUACCCUGAGCAAAGUGAUUCCAUGGUGCUUUUGUGAAAUGACAAGCAAAUACACACAUCUGUUGCCUAGGCAGGGGCAACCCAAAGGCCUGGACCCAACCCCCCACAUUUUGUUCUGACUGGUGUGGUGUGACAUACAGAAGGGUGCAGCUUCACACUCUCACUCAUAGGGGGCUACAUCCUCUUCUAGCAAUGUUUCCCAUGAUAGCUGCUCUAAUGCAAAUUCCUUAAUCGGUGUAGAUUAAUUUAUAUUCUCAACGUAGAUUAAUUUAUAUUCUCAAGGCAAUCUUUGUAGAGGAAAGUAUGGACAAGAAUUUGGAGAAGACGGUCAAAAUAGUCCUUAGCAUGUGUGUGUUCCUUGAAUUAUUAUAGAAGGUCCUAUUUUGUGAGAAUAUUAUGGCCCUACAAAGCCAGUCCUUUUUGUAAGCGUAGUACACCUGGUUUACAGGUAUUAAUAAAAUUAAUCAAAGUAUGUCA